UAUUGUUCUCCGAAACUGUGCCUCCGUGCUUGCACCUUGCCUAGUCAAACUCUUUCAGCUCUGUCUGUCAACAUCUACCUUUCCUUCUUGCUGGAAGUUUGCCUACAUUCAACCUGUUCCUAAAAAGGGUGACCGUUCUAAUCCCUCAAACUACUGUCCUAUUGCUUUAAUUUCCUGCCUAUCUAAAGUUUUUGAAUCUAUCCUCAACAGGAAGAUUCUUAAACAUCUAUCACCUCACAACCUUCUAUCUGAUCGCCAGUAUGAGUUCCGUCAAGGCCGCUCUACUGGUGAUCUUCUGGCUUUCCUUACUGAGUCUGCAGCCAGUGUGGCGGCGUAUCUUGUGUGGUGCGCGUGUGUAUCGCGUUGUGUUCCUCCUCAAAGACUUAGUGGUGGUCAAGAUAACCACGAUUGGCCAAGCCUUUCCCGAAGUGUGCUACCAGUAGUGUACAGUGCCGCCGAAGUCCCGAGCGGCUUCGAGACAAGGAAGAGAAGCUCCGCGACUCACUUGAGCCAGUCAGUCAGUGCUGUGACACAAGGAGCAGCUUUCUCAGCGACGGGGAGCGGUGGACGGCGGAUAAAUACUUCGGCUCCCGCGCCUUCUUCUGCAUCAUGUCCGACCCUCUGACCCUGGUGGUGGGCGACGUGCGUCAGAGGAGUUGAAAAUGUAUGGGACUCGCUGCUGUGCCCUGCGUGUAGCUGUGAGGUGAAGUGCAGACGGCUGCAUUGUCUCAGCCUCGGAGGUGCCACUUGUUCAAAUUACGAAUGGUUUAAUGUUAUUUUUUGCAGGCUGUGGAAUAUUGCAGUAUCUUAUAACAAGACAAAUGA
Molecule: long non-coding RNA, 825 nt
Organism: Scylla paramamosain (green mud crab)
Lineage: Eukaryota; Metazoa; Arthropoda; Malacostraca; Decapoda; Portunidae
Exons: 3
Source: RefSeq, a predicted model, not a curated record